RNAcentral lists this ribosomal RNA (505 nucleotides) under uncultured bacterium. Its description in RNAcentral is "partial 16S ribosomal RNA". It matches the Rfam family "Bacterial small subunit ribosomal RNA", at positions 28 to 507 of the family's 1533-position model. The record is from RNAcentral.
GACGAACGCUGGCGGCGUGCCUAAUACAUGCAAGUAGAACGCACAGUUUAUACCGUAGCUUGCUACACCAUAGACUGUGAGUUGCGAACGGGUGAGUAACGCGUAGGUAACCUGCCUGGUAGCGGGGGAUAACUAUUGGAAACGAUAGCUAAUACCGCAUAAUAUUGAUUAUUGCAUGAUAAUUGAUUGAAAGAUGCUAUUGCAUCACUACCAGAUGGACCUGCGUUGUAUUAGCUAGUAGGUGAGGUAACGGCUCACCUAGGCGACGAUACAUAGCCGACCUGAGAGGGUGAUCGGCCGCACUGGGACUGAGACACGGCCCAGACUCCUACGGGAGGCAGCAGUAGGGAAUCUUCGGCAAUGGACGAAAGUCUGACCGGGCAACGCCGCGUGAGUGAAGAAGGUUUUCGGAUCGUAAAGCUCUGUUGUAAGAGAAGAACGGGUGUGAGAGUGGAAAGUUCACACUGUGACGGUAUCUUACCAGAAAGGGACGGCUAACUACGUG